This 200-nucleotide ribosomal RNA is filed under the name uncultured eukaryote. RNAcentral describes it as "partial 18S ribosomal RNA". The record is from RNAcentral.
GGUUGCAAGUCUCUUCAUACGCGGUCCGUCCUUUGGUAUCGCCAAGCAUUUCGCGUCACACCUUCACCACGGCAUAUCCGAAACGCUGCCUACGUCCAAUCGUUGCACGCGCUGCGCCUUUCGCUGAUACAACAGGUCCAAGGCGACGCGCGUCAGGUCAUGAUCGGGUUUUUUGCACCUGUCAUGCAAUAACACGCAGG